RNAcentral lists this ribosomal RNA (460 nucleotides) under uncultured bacterium. RNAcentral's name for it is "partial 16S ribosomal RNA". It matches the Rfam family "Bacterial small subunit ribosomal RNA", at positions 338 to 795 of the family's 1533-position model. The record is from RNAcentral.
CCUACGGGCGGUAGCAGUGAGGAAUAUUGGUCAAUGGACGAGAGUCUGAACCAGCCAAGUAGCGUGAAGGAUGACUGCCCUAUGGGUUGUAAACUUCUUUUAUAUGGGAAUAAAAUGUUCCACGUGUGGGAUUUUGUAUGUACCAUAUGAAUAAGGAUCGGCUAACUCCGUGCCAGCAGCCGCGGUAAUACGGAGGAUCCGAGCGUUAUCCGGAUUUAUUGGGUUUAAAGGGAGCGUAGGUGGAUUGUUAAGUCAGUUGUGAAAGUUUGCGGCUCAACCGUAAAAUUGCAGUUGAAACUGGCAGUCUUGAGUACAGUAGAGGUGGGCGGAAUUCGUGGUGUAGCGGUGAAAUGCUUAGAUAUCACGAAGAACUCCGAUUGCGAAGGCAGUUCACUGGACUGCAACUGACACUGAGGCUCGAAAGUGUGGGUAUCAAACAGGAUUAGAUACCCCAGUAGUC